UACGUAGGGGGCUAGCGUUGUCCGGAAUCAUUGGGCGUAAAGAGCGUGUAGGCGGCCCGGUAAGUCCGCUGUGAAAGUCGGGGGCUCAACCCUCGAAUGCCGGUGGAUACUGUCGGGCUAGAGUGCGGAAGAGGCGAGAGGAAUUCCUGGUGUAGCGGUGAAAUGCGCAGAUAUCAGGAGGAACACCGAUUGCGAAGGCAGCUCGCUGGGACGUUACUGACGCUGAGACGCGAAAGCGUGGGGAGCAAACAGG
This 253-nucleotide ribosomal RNA is filed under the name uncultured bacterium. Its description in RNAcentral is "partial 16S ribosomal RNA". It matches the Rfam family "Bacterial small subunit ribosomal RNA", at positions 524 to 776 of the family's 1533-position model. The record is from RNAcentral.